RNAcentral lists this ribosomal RNA (465 nucleotides) under uncultured Klebsiella sp. RNAcentral's name for it is "bacterial SSU rRNA". It matches the Rfam family "Bacterial small subunit ribosomal RNA", at positions 338 to 795 of the family's 1533-position model. The record is from RNAcentral. Lineage: Bacteria; Pseudomonadati; Pseudomonadota; Gammaproteobacteria; Enterobacterales; Enterobacteriaceae.
CCUACGGGGGGCUGCAGUGGGGAAUAUUGCACAAUGGGCGCAAGCCUGAUGCAGCCAUGCCGCGUGUGUGAAGAAGGCCUUCGGGUUGUAAAGCACUUUCAGCGGGGAGGAAGGCGGUGAGGUUAAUAACCUCAUCGAUUGACGUUACCCGCAGAAGAAGCACCGGCUAACUCCGUGCCAGCAGCCGCGGUAAUACGGAGGGUGCAAGCGUUAAUCGGAAUUACUGGGCGUAAAGCGCACGCAGGCGGUCUGUCAAGUCGGAUGUGAAAUCCCCGGGCUCAACCUGGGAACUGCAUUCGAAACUGGCAGGCUAGAGUCUUGUAGAGGGGGGUAGAAUUCCAGGUGCAGCGGUGAAAUGCGUAGAGAUCUGGAGGAAUACCGGUGGCGAAGGCGGCCCCCUGGACAAAGACUGACGCUCAGGUGCGAAAGCGUGGGGAGCAAACAGGAUUAGAUACCCGGGUAGUC